RNAcentral lists this ribosomal RNA (552 nucleotides) under Triticum aestivum (bread wheat). RNAcentral's name for it is "partial small subunit ribosomal RNA". The record is from RNAcentral. Lineage: Eukaryota; Viridiplantae; Streptophyta; Magnoliopsida; Poales; Poaceae.
AUGAUUGGCCCCAAGCGAGGGAUAGAUAUGGCAGAUCAUGCUCUACUUGAAUAUGACAUGAAGAUCAAGUCAGGUGAACAAGAAAAAGAUGACCUACAGCCGAUUGAUGGUGCAUCAUUACCAAGCCCCUUAGGCUCAUGGGAUCGGCCAUACAAAUUUCACAUUGCUGACGAUUGUGGCUCAGUUGACAUAACUUUGUCACGUCUUUUACAUGCAGUUGAGGCGACCGUAGAGGUUCUCAUAUUGGAAGUGAAAAACAGUUUCAGUUUGUCCGUCAGAUGUUUAGCCAGUGGGUUUAAUGAAGAAAUCCGGAUCUUUGAUGGAACCAUCGCUGAUUCACAAGGCCUAAAGAGGUCGGUUGUUGCUGUAAUGGACAAUUCUUUUAUAGAUUUGAAGUUCAAGGUAGGCGCAAUGUCAUCCAGUUCCGACCAACAUUGCUGUUCCUUCAAGGUGAAAAUGCAUGGGCAUGAUAUUGAAGAAAUAAAGACUGAUUUUGCAUUAAUCUUAGUGAAGGUGAUUUGGUCGACCUUACCUUGGGGCUUUUCGGCUUAA